GACGAACGCUGGCGGCGUGCUUAACACAUGCAAGUCGAACGGAAAGGCCCUGCUUUUGUGGGGUGCUCGAGUGGCGAACGGGUGAGUAACACGUGAGUAACCUGCCCUUGACUUUGGGAUAACUUCAGGAAACUGGGGCUAAUACCGGAUAGGAGCUCCUGCUGCAUGGUGGGGGUUGGAAAGUUUCGGCGGUUGGGGAUGGACUCGCGGCUUAUCAGCUUGUUGGUGGGGUAGUGGCUUACCAAGGCUUUGACGGGUAGCCGGCCUGAGAGGGUGACCGGCGACAAUGGGACUGAGAGACGGCCCAGACUCCUACGGGAGGCAACAGUGGGGAGUAUGGCACAAUGGGCGGACGCCUGAUGCAGCAGCGCCGCGUGCGGGAUGACGGCCUUCGGGUUGUAAACCGCUUUCGCCUGUGACGAAGCGUGAGUGACGGUAAUGGGUAAAGAAGCACCGGCUAACUACGUG
RNAcentral lists this ribosomal RNA (468 nucleotides) under uncultured bacterium. Its description in RNAcentral is "partial 16S ribosomal RNA". It matches the Rfam family "Bacterial small subunit ribosomal RNA", at positions 28 to 507 of the family's 1533-position model. The record is from RNAcentral.